GGCGGACGGGUGAGUAACGCGUGGGUAACCUGCCUUAUACAGGGGGAUAACAGUCAGAAAUGGCUGCUAAUACCGCAUAAGCGCACAGAGCUGCAUGGCUCAGUGUGAAAAACUCCGGUGGUAUAAGAUGGACCCGCGUUGGAUUAGCUAGUUGGUGGGGUAACGGCCCACCAAGGCGACGACCCAUAGCCGGCCUGAGAGGGUGAACGGCCACAUUGGAACUGAGACACGGUCCAAACUCCUACGGGAGGCAGCAGUGAGGAAUAUUGGUCAAUGGUCGGCAGACUGAACCAGCCAAGUCGCGUGAGGGAAGACGGCCCUACGGGUUGUAAACCUCUUUUGUCGGAGAGUAAAGUACGCUACGUGUAGCGUAUUGCAAGUAUCCGAAGAAAAAGCAUCGGCUAACUCCGUGCCAGCAGCCGCGGUAAUACGGAGGAUGCGAGCGUUAUCCGGAUUUAUUGGGUUUAAAGGGUGCGUAGGCGGCACGCCAAGUCAGCGGUGAAAUUUCCGGGCUCAACCCGGACUGUGCCGUUGAAACUGGCGAGCUAGAGUGCACAAGAGGCAGGCGGAAUGCGUGAUGUAGCGGUGAAAUGCAUAGAUAUCACGCAGAACCCCGAUUGCGAAGGCAGCCUGCUAGGGUGCGACAGACGCUGAGGCACGAAAGCGUGGGUAUCGAACAGGAUUAGAUACCCUGGUAGUCCACGCAGUAAACGGAUGAAUACUAACUGUUUGCGAUACAAUGUAAGCGGUACAGCGAAAGCGUUAAGUAUUCCACCUGGGGAGUACGCCGGCAACGGUGAAACUCAAAGGAAUUGACGGGGGCCCGCACAAGCGGAGGAACAUGUGGUUUAAUUCGAUGAUACGCGAGGAACCUUACCCGGGCUCAAACGCAGGGGGAAUGUCGGUGAAAGCCGGCAGCUAGUAAUAGUCACCUGCGAGGUGCUGCAUGGUUGUCGUCAGCUCGUGCCGUGAGGUGUCGGCUUAAGUGCCAUAACGGGCGCAACCCCUAUCGACAGUUACUAACGGGUGAAGCCGAGGACUCUGUCGAGACUGCCGGCGCAAGCCGCGAGGAGGGUGGGGAUGACGUCAAAUCAGCACGGCCCUUACGUCCGGGGCGACACACGUGUUACAAUGGCAGGUACAGAAGGCAGCCAGUCAGCAAUGACGCGCGAAUCCCGAAAACCUGUCUCAGUUCGGAUUGGAGUCUGCAACCCGACUCCAUGAAGCUGGAUUCGCUAGUAAUCGCGCAUCAGCCAUGGCGCGGUGAAUACGUUCCCGGGCCUUGCACUCACCGCCCGUCA
RNAcentral lists this ribosomal RNA (1301 nucleotides) under uncultured bacterium. RNAcentral describes it as "bacterial SSU rRNA". It matches the Rfam family "Bacterial small subunit ribosomal RNA", at positions 97 to 1399 of the family's 1533-position model. The record is from RNAcentral.